AAUUUUGAAGGGCCGCAGUAUUUUGACUGUGCAAAGGUAGCAUAAUCAUUUGCCUUUUAAUUAGAGGCUAGUAUGAAUGGUUGAACGAAAUACAAACUGUCUCAUUUUUAGAAUUUUAAUAACUUAGCUUUCUAGUUAAAAGGCUUGAAUAUUGUUAGAGGACGAGAAGACCCUAUAGAACUUUAUAUAUUUUUAUUUAGAUUUAUAUAGUAAAAUAUUUUUAUUUAUUUAAGUGUAUAUUUUGUUGGGGUGACAGGGAAAUAAAUAUAACUUUCUUAAAUAUUUAAACAUUGAUUAUUGAAUUUUUGAUCCAUUAAUAUUGAUUAUUAGAAUAAGUUACCUUAGGGAUAACAGCGUAAUUUUGUUGGAGAGUUCAUAUCUAUAAUAAAGUUUGCGACCUCGAUGUUGAAUUAAAGAAAUUUUAGAGUGCAGAAGCUUUAAGU
Molecule: ribosomal RNA, 443 nt
Filed under: Myrmeleon inconspicuus
Lineage: Eukaryota; Metazoa; Arthropoda; Insecta; Neuroptera; Myrmeleontidae
Description: partial 16S ribosomal RNA
Rfam family: Archaeal large subunit ribosomal RNA
Source: RNAcentral